CCUACGGGUGGCAGCAGUGGGGAAUAUUGCACAAUGGGGGAAACCCUGAUGCAGCGACGCCGCGUGAGUGAAGAAGUAUCUAGGUAUGUAAAGCUCUAUCAGCAGGGAAGAAGCAAGACGGUACCUGACUAAGAAGCACCGGCUAACUACGUGCCAGCAGCCGAGGUAAUACGCAGGGGGCAAGCGUUAUCCGGAUUUACUGGGUGUAAAGGGAGCGUAGACGGCUAUGCAAGUCUGAAGUGAAAGCCCAGGGCUCAACCCUGGGACUGCAGUGGAAACUGUGGAGCUAGAGUGCUGGAGAGGUAAGUGGAAUUCGUAGUGUAGCGGUGAAAUGCGUAGAUAUUAGGAGGAACACCAGUGGCGAAGGCGGCUUACUGGAGAGGAACUGACGUUGAGGCUCGAAAGCGUGGGGAGCGAACAGGAUUAGAUACCCGUGUAGUC
Molecule: ribosomal RNA, 441 nt
Filed under: uncultured bacterium
Lineage: Bacteria
Description: partial 16S ribosomal RNA
Rfam family: Bacterial small subunit ribosomal RNA
Source: RNAcentral